UUUCUAAUCUAACAAAACAAAAGAAAACAAAAACUAACAGAAAAGAGAGAAACUCUCUCUUGUUUCUCUCUUUACGCCGCUCGAAUAACAGGCCGCUCGAGAGCCCCCUCGCCUUCGCCCGUUCAACUCCGAUUAGCCAGGAGAAGAAGAAGGCUUCAUCGGCGCUGUUAACAGGUAAUUUCCAACCCCUUUUUUAGAUCUAUCCUUAUAUAUGUAUAGCUGAUAAAAAGGAAAAGGAGAGAAAAAUGAUUCGGAAAAAGAACAGAAUGAAAAAGAGAAGAAAAAAACGUUCUUCUCAAUUUUUUUUGUAUUGAUUUCAUGUUCAUGUGAUACAAUAUGCCCCCCCUUCGUAAACUUUACAAAAUGGCUUUAUAGCCGAAAGUGACAAAAAUAAAAUUACAAAAGAUCUAUUUUUCUUUUUCUUUUUUUCUUUUUUGUUUUGCUGCCGAUUUCUGCUCGUAUUUUCUUGUUUGCUUGUGCUCUGUUGCUUUGUGUGUUGCAGGAGGCCGUACGGUGACGUGGUGAGGCUCGGUGCAGUGCAUGGAAGCGUGGCACGUAGUGGUGGCGCACGUGCGGAGGUGUUGGCGGAGUGCAGGCAGAGGCGCAGGAGGCAUGCGGCGCAAAAAGGGUUAGGGAACCCUAGGUUUUUUCUGAUCUUGUUUGGUUUUUGGGCUUGGUUUGGGUUAAGGGUUUUGGGCCAUACUUAGACUAGUUGGGCUAGGUGUAAUUGGGGGUGUUAGUGAUUGGGUUCUUGUAAAUGGACACUAUGGUUUUUGGACUAUUUUUUAUUUUAUUAUUUUUUAUUAUCGGGCCGGGCAAUAUUGGGCCAUUACAUGUAGGUCAGAUUGUAAAUACGAGGGUCAUUAAGAGAAAAAUUGGGAUGCGAAUGUAAGGCCAUUACUGAUACAAAUAAGAACGUAAGGUUGUUAUUGCUAGAUGAAAUGAUAAAACCAUUGCUCACAAUUAAAUUGUACUUCACUCAAGGCAGUGGGCAUUUCUUUAUCCACCAAAUAAAAACAAUAAAAAUUUAAAACAUAACAAGUUUGUUUACGCAGUUCGGUUUCUUUACUUAUGUAGAAUCUAGUUUAAUAAGAAAUAUCUUGUAAUAUCCCAAGUAUCCCUUAAGUCGAGAAUGAUAUUAAAAUUGGGAGCAUAUGUGUGUGAAUAGGCGAAGGUAAUAAAAUAGAAAUUACAAGUGUUUAAAGUGAAGGUUAAGUGAUAUUGAAGGUAAUUGAAAAGACGUGUUUUGAUAGAAAUACAUCUGGGGUAUAUUCCACAACUUAGAAGCAAGAAAUUAGUAGAUAGAAGUGAAGAAAAUUAAAAGAAAAGAGAAGGAUAGUGAUGAAGUUGAGAAAGAAAUGGAAGAGAAGCAAAAGAGAAUAAAUUCUUGUCAAAAGAGGUAAGCUUUCAUAUUAACUUUACUUAUAUCUUAAUGAGUUAAGUUAAAUAUGUUAUGAAUUAAAUGCAAGAUAUGUAAAUCUUAAUUGAAAUAGUAGAGAGAGAGCAUAUUUGAAGAAGUAUGAUUUGUAGAAACACCAAGUUUCAAGUGAAAGAGAGAAAUAUGAAUUGUAUUAUGAGAAGUUUGAAGG
RNAcentral lists this long non-coding RNA (1589 nucleotides) under Gossypium barbadense (sea-island cotton). RNAcentral's name for it is "long non-coding RNA (GBAR_LNC018853)". Lineage: Eukaryota; Viridiplantae; Streptophyta; Magnoliopsida; Malvales; Malvaceae. The record is from RNAcentral.